Molecule: ribosomal RNA, 253 nt
Filed under: uncultured bacterium
Lineage: Bacteria
Description: partial 16S ribosomal RNA
Rfam family: Bacterial small subunit ribosomal RNA
Source: RNAcentral
CACGUAGGGCGCAAGCGUUGUCCGGAAUUAUUGGGCGUAAAGAGCUCGUAGGCGGUCUGUUGCGUCUGCUGUGAAAACCCGGGGCUUAACCCCUGGCUUGCAGUGGAUACGGACAGACUAGAGGUAGGUAGGGGAGAAUGGAAUUCCCGGUGUAGCGGUGAAAUGCGCAGAUAUCGGGAGGAACACCGGUGGCGAAGGCGGUUCUCUGGGCCUUACCUGACGCUGAGGAGCGAAAGCGUGGGUAGCAAACAGG